CAAUCCUAAGCCAGCUUUGCUUCAGUUGGAAAUUGCCCGCUCAAAUUAACGCUUUCACAAACAAUGCAUCAUUUGGGUCAUCAUUUCGCUGUGUGAUACGAUCAGGGAAGCAAGUCUGAAGUUAUUCUACUGAAAGCCUGUAUCUUUUGCCUGUUUUCAAGAAUCAGUCGCACCAUAUCGAAAACUUCAAAAUAUGGGUCGUCUACAGAAUAAAGAAAUAUGGUAUAUGCCGAUCAUUGAAAAUGGGUCCGCUGAAAUCUUCUAUAACUCAUCGAUUAAAUUUAGGAAUGGCAAGAAGAAGCAUACCAAUCAUCUGUGACUAUAGACGAUAGAGGUCAGGAAGAAAGAGAAGAAGCAAUGACGAAAGCAGUAGGCCCAUCCUUGGUAACAACAUGACUUCUUCAGGGAAAGUUUAAUGAUCUCUUUGUGUCACCAGAACUGAGAAUCCCGUACACAUCCAGACGGACACGGAACACAAUCCUCACCAUCACCACAUCACUCGACCUUCUGUCAGAGGACACGAUGUCGAUCUCUUCGUUUUAUAUCUUCUAUUUUCAAUAUCCCACUUGCCUAGUAAGACUCUCAUAUCUAUUCCGAAGAUCUUAUUAGAUAUUCAGGAUGGAGACAACAUUCCAUACACGGCCAUAUUUACAUUAAAAAAAAAAAACAUGCAGUGAGUUAAGAUAAUUAAGCUACUUUAUCUAUCUGUGUUAAUUCUUUAUUGCUGAAAUCUAGUAUAAUCAACACUCAGUGUCCUUAUAACUUUGGUUAAGGUUUGUUCUAUAACAAUAUCAGAAUUAUCUUAAAUCUGUAUAUUAUAAAAUGUUGGUUUUCACAAUUUCAAAUCUAAAUAGUGUUUUCUUAAUCAGAUGCCAAGUAUAUUAUUGGAUGUUCUUGGUAUACAUAUGACUAAGUUUGAAAAAGUUUCUUUUUGUAUAAUCAACAAAUGCAAAUGUUGGUGUUAUGACAUUACAGAGCAAAAUAUUUAGUUCUUUUAUAAUGCAUUAGGAUUUAUUUGGACAGAAACAGUUCGUACAUACCAAAUUCUCUAAUUUGUAUUAUCUACAUAUCACCCUUUUCACAAAGGAAUUUAUCUAUUUGUAUUAUGGAUUUUUUCAUCAUUCUGUCACUCGAGUACAAACCCAAAUUUUUCCCUAUAUACCUUGAAUUUGUAUCAAAAUUAUUGUUUUGAUAUUUUCAUGAUGAGGAUCAUAAUAACAUAUACUGAUACUGCAAUGUACAAAACUAUCCAUCGAACAAAAGUAAGCAAAUAUACUUCCAGAAAUAAUGAAGUUGUCAUAUGUAUAUUUUUAUAUUUGAAGUCCUUCAAUUGAAUAUCAACCUACAUUCACUUAUUGCCAUAUUGUUUUCAAUAAAAUAUACAUACAUGUAUUCCCUGUAUCGAGAAUGAAAUCUAAUUAAUGAUUAUAAUUACAACUUUGAAAAUUUACUUUGAUUUUUUUAUGCGAAUUCAUUUUGAUUUACUUUUUUCUGCCAUGAUUGUAUUUAGUGUAUAUAAAUAUGCAAUAUUUUUAACGCUUUUCUAAUGUUUUCAAGUUCAGGCCUGUCUCGAGUGGGGAUUCCUCUGGAAUGUACAUGCAAACUAUGCUCAGUGUAUUGAUUUGGAAUAUUUAGUAUAUAAUGCUUUAUUCGUUUCUUUCCUCUGUUGUUUUACCGUUUUUUUAAUCUACGAUUUAUUCUAAAAUAUGUACAUUUUUUAUUACUUUCUUUUGUUAUAUAUUUUGAAAAGUUUUUUUUAUCUCAUUAUAUAAAUUGAAAGAAAGAAUUUGAAUAUGAUGGUUUACAUAACCUUGUUAAAAGAAAAACAAAUCGUCAAAUAAUCGUAGUAUGAAGUGCGCAUUAAACUGCACUUCCUAAAAUAAUGUUAUGUUUAAAUCUCGAAGGAACAUCUUCAUUUGGAAAAGUAAAUAGGUUAUAGAUUUUGCAUAUAUGUAUGGAAGUUUAAUUUCAUUAACAGUCAGAUGAAAUAAUGUUGAUAUUAUUUUCUUGUGAACAAAUAACAAAUUCAAAACAUUUUAUUGUAAAGAAUGCAUUUAUUAAUGAAUACUGUCAAGGAGGUAUUUUUUUCUAUCUUAAUAGUGAGGAAUA
RNAcentral lists this long non-coding RNA (2109 nucleotides) under Lytechinus variegatus (green sea urchin). RNAcentral describes it as "uncharacterized LOC121416638". Lineage: Eukaryota; Metazoa; Echinodermata; Echinoidea; Temnopleuroida; Toxopneustidae. The record is from RNAcentral.